CAAAACUUUCAUUUAGAAACCAGUAAAAUACGAUUGAUAGUUUUGCUUCCCCUGUGUAUGAGGAAGAGUUAACAAUUUCAGGACAGUAAAAACUGUUUCUAACUGAGACUGCAGCCCUUUCAGACUGAAUGUUCUUCCUUGACAGGUAUUUGGAUGGGAGGACUUAAAGAGGCUUCCAAGCAGUAAUUUGGAGGAAUUAACUCUGAAGAGGGAAGAUCACGAUGGAUACCCGAGCUCUUUUCAGUGUCCUUUCCUGCCCUAUAGAAUAUGGCUUCUUUUCCCACCUUGCAUAUAUGUGCCUGCAAUUCCCAUCUUACACGUUCCCAGAUGCCUGUUUUGAGUGCAAUUUCUGCUUGGCAGUGAACUGCUAUUUUUCCUGCUUCACCUCCCAUCCCCCAGCUCAUGUUCUGAGCAGCUGUGAGGUGGGUUGAUCCUUCCUGGAAAAAUAUCUAGCUGUUGGUCUGUCCUAGGAAGAGAGUUAUCUAUCCAUGCUGCUCUGCAUCCCAUGCUUCUUUCUUCUUCCUUCCCUUCCCUUUCCCAUCUCAGCUUCCCUUUUUUACUCCCCUGCUGCUGCCUCAUAAAUUAUAGUUCUCUCAUUUUAAUCUCCACCCCACCCCACCCCUGCCUCCAUCUUAAUGGAUUGAAGACAUCAGAAUUAUGUAGCAAAUUAUUCUGAGCCCUAAGAAUUCUUUUGAGAAGUGGCUGGGAAUUUUUGACACAUUGGAGUCUUCUGGGGAUAUUUUAUGAGUGUACUGGGUUUGAUUAAAAUGGCAGCUCAUAUCAGGAUAGAAAGAAAGACUCCAGCACUGUCUGACAGUCACCUGGAAGGUAGAAAAGGAACUUGAAGCUAGAUUUACAACAUUUCAGGAAGUUUCUUCCAGGCUGCAUGCAUCUCCAUCUCCAAAAUAUGAGAAAUUUUAAAGAUGUCCACAUACCAGAAAAUGUUUACUUUACUAGCCUUUGCACAUCUGCGAUUAGUUUAUAAGGGUUUAAUUUUGAUCUUAGCUCCUUUUCCUACAGUAUGCUGAAGUAUUUGAGUUGGGUUGUUGUUUUUUGUUUUGUUUUGUGACACUGUCAGUGGCUAAAAUCUUAAUGCACAAAAUCUUUCUUAUAGGAGAUCUUAUCAUUUUGUAUUGCAGCAGAAAGGACAGACUUGGGUGCUACAAGAUCUUGCAAAGCUGCAAAACUACUGGACUAAGUUAGCGAAGUUUUUUGCUCAUAAGAAAGCCUUAGGUAAGAGUGACUGCAAAUGCUCCUCAUUAAUGGAUAUGUGUUCCUGCUUUUCUGGCUUACUCAGUCCCCUUACAGCACAGUCACAUACUCCUGGGUGCCACUUCUGGUCUAGGCUUUACCCUUUUUUCAAAAUGUUGAUUAAGUAUGGGACGGUGGCCAGCACACAGGGAAGCAGUGUAAUGGCUGAAAGUGGGAAACAGCCAAUUAAAGGAUCAAAGUCAGGGAAAUUAAGCCUUGAGAGGAAAGGGCACAAACUGGGCGGGUCUGGGAAGAGCAAGAUAAUAGUGGCCCUCAGGGGAGACACCAGAGUAGGAAACGGGACUAAAGUCAAAGAAGUGGAGGGCAAAACACAACUGCUCUCCCUUGAAGGGAUUGUCUAAGAUGGCAAAGAAGCAGCACAGGAAGAGAGAAAGGGAAUAACUGUAAUACAUACAAUGAUUUGUUUAGCUACUACACUCUCAGUGGGGCCUACCUAUAAGCAGGGCUGUGCAAGAAGACCUUCUAGUGCGGUUGGCAGCUGAGUAAGCUGCCAGUGAGCACUCCCACUUUGCUUCACAGCAGCCUCCUGGCACCACUGCACUGCUACUCUCUCAUCCUCCUUGCUGCCAGCGCCUGGGUCAUUCCUUCCCCUAGUUCCUCAAAAGCCCCUGCCAUCUGACCUCUACUCCUGGACUAAUUCUUACUAAUAGUCUUACAAACAGACCUGCUUUUGACAAGCUAGACCCUUGUUUUUAAUGCCUUGACUAUAUGUAGUUUGUGACCCUGUCUAACUAAACCAAGUAUACUUGGUGCAGCACAGCAGUAAGAACUUUCAUACUUCAAACUACACUUACUCUGCUUAAGUCAACACGAGGUGACUUGAACAGCACUGAAAUAGGACAUUCUAAAGAUAAAAUAAAAGUGUCCUUCCUGCUUGAGCCUUA
Falco peregrinus (peregrine falcon) is the source of this 2156-nucleotide long non-coding RNA. RefSeq lists it as uncharacterized. Lineage: Eukaryota; Metazoa; Chordata; Aves; Falconiformes; Falconidae. The record is from RefSeq and is a predicted model, not a curated record. The transcript is spliced from 2 exons.